This 447-nucleotide ribosomal RNA is filed under the name Micrococcus luteus. RNAcentral's name for it is "bacterial SSU rRNA". It matches the Rfam family "Bacterial small subunit ribosomal RNA", at positions 28 to 484 of the family's 1533-position model. The record is from RNAcentral. Lineage: Bacteria; Bacillati; Actinomycetota; Actinomycetes; Micrococcales; Micrococcaceae.
GAUGAACGCUGGCGGCGUGCUUAACACAUGCAAGUCGAACGAUGAAGCCCAGCCUGCUGGGCGGAUUAGUGGCGAACGGGUGAGUAACACGUGAGUAACCUGCCCUUGACUCUGGGAUAAGCCCGGGAAACUGGGUCUAAUACCGGAUAGGAGCGCCUGUCGCAUGACGGGUGCUGGAAAGAUUUUUCGGUCAUGGAUGGACUCGCGGCCUAUCAGCUUGUUGGUGAGGUAACGGCUCACCAAGGCGACGACGGGUAGCCGGCCUGAGAGGGUGACCGGCCACACUGGGACUGAGACACGGCCCAGACUCCUACGGGAGGCAGCAGUGGGGAAUAUUGCACAAUGGGCGGAAGCCUGAUGCAGCGACGCCGCGUGAGGGAUGACGGCCUUCGGGUUGUAAACCUCUUUUCAGUAGGGAAGAAAGCGAAAAGUGAACGGUACCUGCAG